RNAcentral lists this ribosomal RNA (230 nucleotides) under uncultured bacterium. RNAcentral describes it as "partial 16S ribosomal RNA". It matches the Rfam family "Bacterial small subunit ribosomal RNA", at positions 121 to 334 of the family's 1533-position model. The record is from RNAcentral.
AUAAUCCACCUUCGAAUUGGGGAUAACGUUGCGAAAGCGACGCUAAUACCGAAUAAUAUCCAUUAACCUUCGGUUUUUUUGGAUCAAGGGUGGCCUCUACAUGUAAGCUACUGUUUGAAGAUGAGUCCGCGUACCAUUAGCUUGUUGGUGGGGUAAUGGCCUACCAAGGCAACUAUGGUUAGCUGGUCUGAGAGGAUGAUCAGCCACACUGGAACUGACACACGGUCCAG